Molecule: ribosomal RNA, 560 nt
Filed under: Dendrobaena pentheri
Lineage: Eukaryota; Metazoa; Annelida; Clitellata; Crassiclitellata; Lumbricidae
Description: partial 16S ribosomal RNA
Source: RNAcentral
UAUACUUCUAAUCUUUUAAUAUAAUUUUAAUAAAAACAAUAACAUAUAAAAUCUAAUAAAUAGUACUGUAAAGGAAUAGUAUCUCAUAUUAAAGUAAUGAUUAAAUCAUGUACCUUGUGCAUAAUGGUUUUACAAGCUCACAUUUAAAUAAUUAAUUCCCGAAUUCUGUGCGAGCUGCCUAUUUAUUGCUUAGAGCCCACUAUUAGUUGUAGCAUCAACUUUAAAAAAUAAAUUUGCAGAGGCUACAUACCACUCGCGCCAGAAAAUUGCUGGUUUUCAGUAAAACUUAUAUAUUAAAACAUGUACUAACAGUACAGUGUAAAGUCUCAGAGGAUAAGCCCUGAGUCUAAUUUCAAUAAUAGAAAUAGCUUACAAAAUAGGCCUAAAAUCAGCCAUCUAAAAUACUUUACCGUGAUAGUAAUAAUAAUUAAUUAUAAAGUAUGAUAAUUAAAACUGAAGAUUAUAAAAACUUACUCACCUAACUCUUUAUGUAAAAAUAAGUAUUGUAACUAAUAUUCACCUUAUUUAAUCCUAGCAAGGAACUCGGCAAAUCCUAAUUU